This 118-nucleotide ribosomal RNA is filed under the name Danio rerio (zebrafish). The record is from RNAcentral. Lineage: Eukaryota; Metazoa; Chordata; Actinopteri; Cypriniformes; Danionidae.
CUUGCCAGCCACUAGCUCUUUGUAACUUUCACAUGGUCGCCCACUGAAGCUAAGCAGGGCUACGCCUGGUCAGUACCUGAAUGGGAGACCACAUGAGAAAGCUAGGUUUCUGCCGGAA